Molecule: ribosomal RNA, 497 nt
Filed under: uncultured bacterium
Lineage: Bacteria
Description: partial 16S ribosomal RNA
Rfam family: Bacterial small subunit ribosomal RNA
Source: RNAcentral
GAUGAACGCUGGCGGCGUGCCUAAUACAUGCAAGUCGAGCGAACGGACGAGAUGCUUGCUUCUCUGAUGUUAGCGGCGGACGGGUGAGUAACACGUGGAUAACCUACCUAUAAGACUGGGAUAACUUCGGGAAACCGUAGCUAAUACCGGAUAAUAUUUUGAACCGCAUGGUUCAAAAGUGAAAGACGGUCUUGCUGUCACUUAUAGAUGGAUCCGCGCUGCAUUAGCUAGUUGGUAAGGUAACGGCUUACCAAGGCAACGAUGCAUAGCCGACCUGAGAGGGUGAUCGGCCACACUGGAACUGAGACACGGUCCAGACUCCUACGGGAGGCAGCAGUAGGGAAUCUUCCGCAAUGGGCGAAAGCCUGACGGAGCAACGCCGCGUGAGUGAUGAAGGUCUUCGGAUCGUAAAACUCUGUUAUUAGGGAAGAACAUAUGUGUAAGUAACUGUGCACAUCUUGACGGUACCUAAUCAGAAAGCCACGGCUAACUACGUG